Molecule: transfer RNA, 88 nt
Filed under: Colletotrichum lupini
Lineage: Eukaryota; Fungi; Ascomycota; Sordariomycetes; Glomerellales; Glomerellaceae
Rfam family: tRNA
About the family: Transfer RNA (tRNA) molecules are approximately 80 nucleotides in length. Their secondary structure includes four short double-helical elements and three loops (D, anti-codon, and T loops). Further hydrogen bonds mediate the characteristic L-shaped molecular structure. tRNAs have two regions of fundamental functional importance: the anti-codon, which is responsible for specific mRNA codon recognition, and the 3' end, to which the tRNAs corresponding amino acid is attached (by aminoacyl-tRNA synthetases). tRNAs cope with the degeneracy of the genetic code in two manners: having more than one tRNA (with a specific anti-codon) for a particular amino acid; and 'wobble' base-pairing, i.e. permitting non-standard base-pairing at the 3rd anti-codon position.
Source: Rfam by way of RNAcentral
UCCGAUAUGGUGUAGUGGCCAACAUGAUGCCCUCUCAUCUCAAUUGAGAGGUUAGGCAUAGCCCCGAGUUCGAUUCUCGGUUUCGGAA